GCGUGGGUGAAGAAGGCCUUAGGGUUGUAAAACCCUUUCAGCGGGGAAGAUGAUGACGGUACCCGCAGAAGAAGCCCCGGCUAACUCCGUGCCAGCAGCCGCGGUAAUACGGAGGGGGCUAGCGUUGUUCGGAAUUACUGGGCGUAAAGGGCGUGUAGGCGGUUUGCCAAGUCAGAUGUGAAAGCCCCGGGCUUAACCUGGGAACUGCAUUUGAGACUGGCAGGCUAGAGGUUGGAAGAGGAGAGUGGAAUUCCCAGUGUAGAGGUGAAAUUCGU
Molecule: ribosomal RNA, 275 nt
Filed under: uncultured bacterium
Lineage: Bacteria
Description: partial 16S ribosomal RNA
Rfam family: Bacterial small subunit ribosomal RNA
Source: RNAcentral